UAAAUAGCUAUGAAGUGAUACA
Molecule: microRNA, 22 nt
Filed under: Nematostella vectensis (starlet sea anemone)
Lineage: Eukaryota; Metazoa; Cnidaria; Anthozoa; Actiniaria; Edwardsiidae
Description: nve-miR-2046-3p
Source: miRBase by way of RNAcentral